CCUACGGGAGGCAGCAGUGAGGAAUAUUGGUCAAUGGACGAGAGUCUGAACCAGCCAAGUAGCGUGAAGGAUGACUGCCCUAUGGGUUGUAAACUUCUUUUAUAUGGGAAUAAAAUGUUCCACGUGUGGGAUUUUGUAUGUACCAUAUGAAUAAGGAUCGGCUAACUCCGUGCCAGCAGCCGCGGUAAUACGGAGGAUCCGAGCGUUGUCCGGAUUUAUUGGGUUUAAAGGGAGCGUAGGUGGAUUGUUAAGUCAGUUGUGAAAGUUUGCGGCUCAACCGUAAAAUUGCAGUUGAAACUGGCAGUCUUGAGUACAGUAGAGGUGGGCGGAAGUAGUGGUGUAGCGGUGAAAUGCUUAGAUAUCACGAAGAACUCCGAUUGCGAAGGCAGUUCACUGGACUGCAACUGACACUGAGGCUCGAAAGUGUGGGUAUCAAACAGGAUUAGAUACCCGGGUAGUC
RNAcentral lists this ribosomal RNA (460 nucleotides) under uncultured bacterium. Its description in RNAcentral is "partial 16S ribosomal RNA". It matches the Rfam family "Bacterial small subunit ribosomal RNA", at positions 338 to 795 of the family's 1533-position model. The record is from RNAcentral.